UUAAACAUUUUUUAAAAUAUUUAUAUUUUUGGUCAUGAUGUGCCUUUAAUGUUUACAGGCAUCAUUGGUCUUUAAUACUAGUGAGAACUUCUCACACAUUCCAAUCUAUUGUACAUGUUUAACUAUUUAUAAUCUGAGUUGACAGGUGUAUGUUUUCAUCCAAUCAGAUGAGAGUAUUCUUAUAUUGUGAUCACAUGACCAGGUUUGGUGUGUAGUUUCAAAGUUUUAGAGUUAGAGGAAGGUGGACAUUUUUGCUUUGCUCUUUGAUAGGUUAUUUUAUAUUUAAAGUGUUUGGAGGAGAAUUGGACUAAGCACAAGUCACAUACACUGGAUGGUCGAGUGAUUGUUUGUGGAGGAUAUUUAUAAAUAUAAAAGAGGGUACUUGUUUCACUCACAAGGCCCAUUUUUGUUUUGUGUUAUUUAUAUUGUAAAUACUACACCGAAUAAAUAUCUAGCAAGAACCCUAUUGUGUUGUUUAACCCUGAGACCGUAGAGGCCCAGCUGCUAGAUUGGCGCCCAACGUUGUGGAUUGUCGUGGUACAUCGGUGUGGAUUGGCGUGGUAAAGUGGUGUGGAUUGUCGUGGUAAAGUGGUGUGGAUUGGCGUGGUAAAGUGGUGUGGAUUGGCGUGGUACAGUGGUGUGGAUUGGCGUUGUAUAGUUGUGUUGAUUGACGUGGUACAGUGUCGUUGGUAUUGGAACGUGGAUUGAUUGGUUAUUGCGUGGAUCAAUCUGAGGACAGAUUUCAGCAUUGUGAGAGGAGCAGCAUCAUUGUGGAACUGUAUGACUGUGUGUGUGAAAUUGGUCAAGUGAAUCACUUAUUACCUAGGUGUUAGUAUUGUAUAUUGGUGAGUUUAAGUGUAAAUAUUUACCUGGGUCACUAUUUGUAUAUUUUUAUCUGUUUAUAAAAUUUAAGUAAAUUAUAAUUUACAUUUUGAAGGAAAAUUUCAUAUUAAUUAUGUAAUUAAUCAUGUAAUUGUUGAUUUAUAAGUCUCUAAGUUAAGCAAUUAUAUUCAGUAAGAUUUAAGACAUAGUGUAACUAUACAGGUUAUUACUUUUGUAAGUUGUGUAAAGAUAAAGCUUAAUAGAGAAUAUAUUUUGCUAGAAUUUGUUUUAAUAUCAAGAUUAGAUUAUCUAAAGUUACUUAAUUAUUAAUUACAAAUAAGAUUUCGCUUCAAGUCAAGAUAUAAGAAUUUUAAGUAAUUGAUAUUUUAUUUAUUACUUAAUUUGGUGACCCAGUACAUAAUAAUAGUAUGUAUUAGUUAAUGCUAUAAAGGAAUGUGAGUAUAUUUUGUUUAUGUAAGAAUAAAUGUGCACGGAUUUGCCGACGACCACGUUGCGAAUAAACGUUUUAAACCAUCACCUACCGCAGAGGCAAGCGCAAUUCGGGACCUCCAGGACUGUGCAGUGCAUAUAAAUGAGUGGAUGAACAGCAACAAGUUAAAAAUGAACAAUUCAAAGACAGAGUUUAUUCUUUUCGGAAGUCGUCCACAGCUGAAUAAGUGUAACACCAAAGAAAUCAAUAUAUGUGGUAAUGUUAUUGAAUCACAACAUUGUAUACGUUAUCUUGGUGCUUUUUUGGAUGAGUCUCUAAAUUUCAAAGAUCACAUUAAAAGAAAGUGUAGAACUGCUAUGUUAAACUAUUUCAAGAUCAAGAGCAUUCGAAAGUAUCUGACAAAGGAAGCCGCUGAAAACACUUGUUUUAU
Ruditapes philippinarum (Manila clam) is the source of this 1703-nucleotide long non-coding RNA. RefSeq lists it as uncharacterized. The transcript has 3 exons. The record is from RefSeq and is a predicted model, not a curated record. NCBI's taxonomy places the organism in Eukaryota, Metazoa, Mollusca, Bivalvia, Venerida, Veneridae.